This 441-nucleotide ribosomal RNA is filed under the name uncultured bacterium. Its description in RNAcentral is "partial 16S ribosomal RNA". It matches the Rfam family "Bacterial small subunit ribosomal RNA", at positions 338 to 795 of the family's 1533-position model. The record is from RNAcentral.
CCUACGGGUGGCAGCAGUAGGGAAUUUUGCGCAAUGGGCGAAAGCCUGACGCAGCAACGCCGCGUGUAUGAUUAAGCCCUUCGGGUUGUAAAGUUCUGUCAUCGGGGACGAAACUUGUCGGUAUACACCCUGGACUCACUGGCUUACCCCGUGCAAGCAGCCGCGGCAAUACGGAGGGUGCAAGCGUUGUCCGGACUCAUUGGGCGUAAAGUGUUCGUAGGUGGCAUAUUAAGUCUGGUGUGAAAUGCAGUAGCUCAACUUCUGUUCGGCACUGGAUACUGGUAAGCUUGCGUGCCGUAGAGGUGAAGGGAAUUCCUGGUGUAGCGGUGAAAUGCGUAGAUAUCAGGAGGAACAUCGGUGGCGUAAGCGCUUUACUGGGCCGUAAUUGACACUGAGGAGCGAAAGCCGGGGUAGCAAAUGGGAUUAGAUACCCGAGUAGUC